RNAcentral lists this ribosomal RNA (253 nucleotides) under uncultured bacterium. Its description in RNAcentral is "partial 16S ribosomal RNA". It matches the Rfam family "Bacterial small subunit ribosomal RNA", at positions 524 to 776 of the family's 1533-position model. The record is from RNAcentral.
UACAGAGGGUGCGAGCGUUAAUCGGAAUUACUGGGCGUAAAGGGCGCGUAGGUGGUUAAUUAAGUCAGAUGUGAAAUCCCCGGGCUUAACCUGGGAAUGGCAUAUGAAACUGAUUAGCUAGAGUUUGGGAGAGGGAAGUGGAAUUUCAGGUGUAGCGGUGAAAUGCGUAGAUAUCUGAAGGAACACCAGUGGCGAAGGCGACUUCCUGGCCCGAUACUGACGCUGAGGCGCGAAAGCGUGGGGAGCAAACAGG